GAUGAACGCUGGCGGCGUGCCUAAUACAUGCAAGUCGAGCGAACAGACGAGGAGCUUGCUCCUCUGACGUUAGCGGCGGACGGGUGAGUAACACGUGGAUAACCUACCUAUAAGACUGGGAUAACUUCGGGAAACCGGAGCUAAUACCGGAUAAUAUAUUGAACCGCAUGGUUCAAUAGUGAAAGACGGUUUUGCUGUCACUUAUAGAUGGAUCCGCGCCGCAUUAGCUAGUUGGUAAGGUAACGGCUUACCAAGGCGACGAUGCGUAGCCGACCUGAGAGGGUGAUGGGCCACACUGGAACUGAGACACGGUCCAGACUCCUACGGGAGGCAGCAGUAGGGAAUCGUCCGCAAUGGGCGAAAUCCUGACGGAGCAACGCCGCGUGAGUGAUGAAGGUCUUCGGAUCGUAAAACUCUGUUAUUAGGGAAGAACAAAUGUGUAAGUAACUAUGCACGUCUUGACGGUACCUAAUCAGAAAGCCACGGCUAACUACGUG
This 497-nucleotide ribosomal RNA is filed under the name uncultured bacterium. RNAcentral's name for it is "partial 16S ribosomal RNA". It matches the Rfam family "Bacterial small subunit ribosomal RNA", at positions 28 to 507 of the family's 1533-position model. The record is from RNAcentral.